This 102-nucleotide non-coding RNA is filed under the name Shouchella clausii KSM-K16. RNAcentral's name for it is "Bacillus clausii KSM-K16 Purine riboswitch aptamer". It matches the Rfam family "Purine riboswitch aptamer". Rfam says of the family: Riboswitches are metabolite binding domains within certain messenger RNAs that serve as precision sensors for their corresponding targets. Allosteric rearrangement of mRNA structure is mediated by ligand binding, and this results in modulation of gene expression. RNAcentral also lists the same sequence under 1 other name. The record is from Rfam by way of RNAcentral. Lineage: Bacteria; Bacillati; Bacillota; Bacilli; Caryophanales; Bacillaceae.
AAGUUAAAAACGAAAACACCUCAUAUAUACUCGGGAAUAUGGCUCGAACGUUUCUACCCGGCAACCGUAAAUUGCCGGACUAUGAGGGGAAGUCAUUACGCG